This 381-nucleotide long non-coding RNA is filed under the name Citrus maxima (pomelo). RNAcentral describes it as "long non-coding RNA (CMAX_LNC000581)". Lineage: Eukaryota; Viridiplantae; Streptophyta; Magnoliopsida; Sapindales; Rutaceae. The record is from RNAcentral.
GUAAAUCUCUAUUAGUUUUUUUUUUAUAUUAGUUGUUAAUUUGUAUGUUAUGUACGAUACUUGUAUUGUUAGUAUUUUUAUAUUUUGUGUUGGCUAAUCAUGUAUUAGAGAAUUAUAUUUAAGUUUUUAGCCUAUUGUAGUAUUAUGUAUUGGAUAAUUAUGUUUUGAAAAUUUAUAGUUUUAUUUUUUAAAAAAAUUUUGAAAAUUCGUAAAAGCCCGGGCUCGGCCCGAGGCCCAGCCCAGGCCCGUCAAGGCCCGGCCCGCCCAAAGCCCGCCCAACUUGGAUGGGCUUUGAGAGGGUCUGGACUUAUUUAACAUUAUAUGGGCCUGGUCCUGGGCUUGGCAAAGCCCGGCCCAGGCCCUUAAAUUGCCAACCCUAGG